RNAcentral lists this ribosomal RNA (1466 nucleotides) under Corynebacterium kroppenstedtii. RNAcentral's name for it is "bacterial SSU rRNA". It matches the Rfam family "Bacterial small subunit ribosomal RNA". Lineage: Bacteria; Bacillati; Actinomycetota; Actinomycetes; Mycobacteriales; Corynebacteriaceae. The record is from RNAcentral.
UUGGCCUUUGCUUUUUGCUUACUCAUGUUAGUCCACGGUAGGCUUUGCUUGCAGGGUGCUCUAGUGUCUAACGGGUGAUUAACACGUGGGUGAUCUGCCCCUUACUUUGGGAUAAGCCUGGGAAACUGGGUCUAAUACUGGAUAGGACCCUGCUGUACGUGGUGUGGUGGAAAGAUUUUUUCGGUAAGGGAUGAGCUCGCGGCCUAUCAGCUUGUUGGUGGGGUAAUGGCCUACCAAGGCGUCGACGGGUAUCCGGCCUGAGAGGGUGGACGGCCACAUUGGGACUGAGAUACGGCCCAAACUCCUACGGGAGGCCCCGUGGGGAAUAUUGCACAAUGGGCGCAAGCCUGAUGCAGCGACGCCGCGUGGGGGAUGACGGCCUUCCGGUUGUAAGACUCCUGUUCAGCCAAUGACCAAAGCCUAUUGUGGAGACGGUAGAUAGUAGAAGAAGCACUCGCCUAAACUACGAGCCAGCAGCCGCGGUAAUACGUCAGGGUGCGAGCGUUGUCCCAGAAUUACUGGGCGUAAAGAGCUCGUAGGUGAUUCUGUGCGCGUCAUUUGUGAAAGCCCGGAAUCUUAACUCCGCGUCGGCAGAUGAUCACGGGCAUGACUGGAGUACUAUAAGGGAGACUGGAAUUCCAGGUGUAGCGGUGAAAUGCACAGAUAUCAAGAAGGAACACAGGUGGAGAAAGCAGGGUCUCUGGGCAGUAACUGACGCUGAGGAGCGAAAGCAUGGGUAGCGAACAAGAUUAGAUACCCUGGUAGUCCAUGCCGUAAACGGAGGGCGCUAGGUGUGGGUUUCCUUCCACGGGCAUCUCGUGCCGUAGAUAACACACUAAGCGCCCCGCCUGGGGAGUACCGCCGCAAGGCUAAAAAUCCAAAGGAAUUGUACGGGCGCCCGCACAAACCGGCAGGAGCAUGUGGAUGAAUUCCGAUACAACGCUGAAGAACCUUACCUGAGCUCUGACAUGCACUGGGAUGCGGCCAGAGAUGGGUGUUCCCUUUUGUAGCCUGGUGAGCAGGUGGUCGCCAUGGUGGUCGUCAAGCUCGUGUCGUGAAAUGUAGAGUUAAGUCCCGCAACGGAGCGCAACCCUUGUCUUCCCUGUUGGCCAGCAAUCUGAUUGGGGACUCGCGGGAGGCUACCGGGGUUAACUCGGAGGAAGGGGGGGAGGACGUCAAAUCAUCAUCCCCCUUAUGUCCAGGGCUUCACACAUGCUACAAAGGCUGGUACAGAGAGUUGCGAUCCCGUGAGGUGGAGCUAAUCUCGUAAGCCAGUCUCAGUUCGGAUUGGAGUCGGCAACUCGACUCCACGAAGUCGGAGUCGCUAGUAAUCGCGGAUCAGCAAUCCUGCGGGGAAAACUUUCCCGGGCCUUUUACACCCCCCCCUUCCCCUCAGAGAAGUUGUUAACCCCCAAAAUCCGGGGGGCAAAACUUAUUAGAGAGCCUCGCUAACGGGAAUAAGAUUG